CUUUGUUUAAUUUUAUUUAACAGGAAAUAGCUUAUCAUCAAUUUUAGGUGGUCCGGUGACAUGUAGUCAUCGCAAGUCAUCAUGUUUAGAACAAAAGGCAGCCUUAACAAUGGGUGCGAGGUAGGCUGUCAGUCUUAAUUGGAAAAUUUUGACAUGAUACGGAAGUUAACUAAGGUAAAGCAUUUCACUAGCUAGCAUUGCACACCAGCUAGCUUAAAUCAAGGACGCGGGGGCAUGAUCAAGGACACGGUCCAUGUCGGGUGGAUCCCAAUCAU
This 275-nucleotide long non-coding RNA is filed under the name Elaeis guineensis (African oil palm). RNAcentral describes it as "long non-coding RNA (EGUI_LNC025407)". Lineage: Eukaryota; Viridiplantae; Streptophyta; Magnoliopsida; Arecales; Arecaceae. The record is from RNAcentral.